Molecule: ribosomal RNA, 450 nt
Filed under: uncultured bacterium
Lineage: Bacteria
Description: partial 16S ribosomal RNA
Rfam family: Bacterial small subunit ribosomal RNA
Source: RNAcentral
GUGGGGAAUAUUGGACAAUGGGCGAAAGCCUGAUCCAGCCAUGCCGCGUGUGUGAAGAAGGUCUUCGGAUUGUAAAGCACUUUAAGUUGGGAGGAAGGGUAGUAACCUAAUACGUUGCUACUUUGACGUUACCGACAGAAUAAGCACCGGCUAACUUCGUGCCAGCAGCCGCGGUAAUACGAAGGGUGCAAGCGUUAAUCGGAAUUACUGGGCGUAAAGCGCGCGUAGGUGGUUCAGUAAGUUGGAAGUGAAAUCCCCGGGCUCAAGCUGGGAACUGCUUUCAAAACUGCUGAGCUAGAGUACGGUAGAGGGUGGUGGAAUUUCCUGUGUAGCGGUGAAAUGCGUAGAUAUAGGAAGGAACACCAGUGGCGAAGGCGACCACCUGGACUGAUACUGACACUGAGGUGCGAAAGCGUGGGGAGCAAACAGGAUUAGAAACCCUUGUAGUCC